This 5491-nucleotide long non-coding RNA is filed under the name Sus scrofa (pig). RNAcentral's name for it is "lncRNA (ENSSSCG00015054438.1)". The record is from RNAcentral. Lineage: Eukaryota; Metazoa; Chordata; Mammalia; Artiodactyla; Suidae.
UUUUUUUUUUUUUUUUUUUUUUUUUUUGGUCUUUUUGCCUUUUCUAGAGCCGCUACUGUGGCAUAUGGAGAUUCACAGGCUAGGGGUCUAAUUGGAGGUACAGCUGCCGGCCUACACCACAGCCACAGCAAUGUGGUAUCCGAGCCACGUCUGCAACCUACACCACAGCUCACGGCCACGUCGAAUCCUUAACCCACUGAGCAAGGGCAGGGAUCAAACCCACAACCUCAUGGUUCCUAGUCAGAUUCAUUAACCACUGCGCCAUGAUGGGAACUCCAAGAAUGCAAUCCAUUUUGCAUGCAAAGAUAACCACAGCUUUGCCAUAACCCUUCUGGAGAGAGCUGGAAAGACACAUGGGGAAAACCAUGAGCUGGCCCCUCCACCGCUCAGGUAGGCUCUAGGACUCUCUCCCAGUGGACUUUCUCCCAGGUAAAGGCCUUUGGGAGCCCAGCCAAGGUUUUAAGGACCAGCUCCAAUUCAGACUCUUGUCAGGUCACCUUCCCAAGCUCCCCUGCAAGAAUGAAGGACCCUCCCCUUCUUCCUUGGCGCUCCCUGUGUAACUGGUGUGGCCUUCCUCCCGGCUGAUUUCCAUUUCCCUUCUUUGGGGAUAUCUUGGUUCUGGAGGCAGCCCGAUGCGAGUUCAAUACCAGCUCUCCCACUUAACUCAGUGCCUUGAGCAGGUGGCUCCACCUGUGAGGCUCAGGUCACUCGACUGUAAAAUGGGUAUAAUAAUAUCGCGUGCCCUCCAGGAGUGGUGUGAGAAGUAAACAAGGCCAGGCAUCUCAGGGACACUGCUCUGCCCCGCAUGGAAUCUGAGUCCCUCGGUAACCAGGACUUGCUGGGGUAUUGACGCCGAUGAUGCUGAAUUUUCAUGGCAACAAAGCAUCCGGCCACUUUCAAAUCACCUCUGACCUGUGCAGCGUCCAAGCAAGUGCCUUUCUUACGGUAACUGACCACAGCUUGCUCGGAGGAUAAGGGAGACGAUAAAGGAAAGGAGAGCAAUUAGCUCAGUGCCUGUAACCAAGGAGCUCAAGAAAUUUGAAUAUCCCUUUCUGCAAAACACAACUUUGUCGUACAGAAGCUUCAACAGCCUGAAUUAAGGCUGCUGGUGAAAAAAAAAGGGCUUAGAGAGGAAGAGAUGGGGACCCCCGGGGAACUGUAAAGUGAUCUCUAAAGAGACCAUGACCUUGUGGCUUUAAACAGGGCAUUGGUUGGGGUGACAUCAGCUGCAUGUCUUGCAGAAUGGAUGCAAAUCAAAUCUUUCAUGUCCUGCUCUUAUCCUCGAAAUGCCUGCACGGAUGAAAAAGGGAGGUGAUGAUAGGGCUGAUGCGCUGUAGGAAGGUUGAGGGGAGGACAUCGCGGUGGCAUGAGGGGCUUCAGAUGAAGGUGGAUGGCGUCCCCAGGAAGAGCCUCCUUGAUCCCCAAUCAAGAGACUUGGAUGUUGACUCAGGGGCCUCAAGAGACUGGACCCAGGGGAAGAAAUUGAACACUAGCUGCCCACCCCCACCUUCCCCCAGAUCACCUUCCCCAGGUAAUUCUAUCCACAGGUGGAAAGGAACGCUGUUUCCGCCCUGCACCCUGGGGAGACCCAAGCUGAGCCCAGAGCAAUAGACAGAGCACAUGCAUAGGCAAGCCCCCCAAGCCCCAACACACAUCCCGAGCCUGCUGCUCCCUCCACUUCAAUAUUCCCAGAAGUGAUGCUCGCUGUCAAGUAAAGGAAAGAAGGAGUUCCCAUCGUGGUGCAGCAGAAACGAAUCCGACUAGGAACCGUGAGUGAGGUUGCAGGUUCGAGCCCUGGCCUCACUCACUGGGUUAAGGAUCCAGCGUUGCCGUGAGCUGUGGUGUAGGUCACAGCUGAGGCUCAGAUCCCGCAUUGCUGUGACUGUGGUGUAGGCGGGCAGCUACACUCCCAUUCGACCCCUAACCUGGGAACCGCCAUAAGCUGUGGGUGCAGCCCUGAAAAGACAAAAACAAAAGAUAAAACAACAACAACCACAAAAACCUUUUAUUGUGUUGGAUCCCUGAGGUGUCCAGGAUUGAUCACCUGUCCUUGCAGCUGGGAUUACUUACUCCAAAUGGUAUAGACCCCAUUGUCCAUUCUUGGAAGGAUGAAUCCAUGGCAUCCAUUGCAAUUCUUUAGAUACCGGGUGGAAGUGGCACUGAGAUUCCAGGUGGGAGACCUGUCUCCCGUUCCAGGCUGUAAAAAUGCGCAGCUGAAUGAUUGGGAAGAAUCAUUUCCUCCUCUGGCUCUCAGCUCCUCAUUGACACAGCAAGGGUGCUGAGUGAGAUAAUCGUUUCCAUGUCCUGCCGCUCUAAGACGGCGGUGAUGCUGGGCCACAGGGCUCAGCCCGCUGACCUCCACCUGUCCCUGAAAUGCAAGCUGAUGCCAAGUCCCCGGUCUGCGGGGUGCCGACCCUCUGCUGAUCAGAACAGCUAAGUAUUAUUAGAGACGGUCCCCAUAGCCAAUGGAAGAGAUGAGGCAGAAUCAGGUGCUCAAGAACUGCUCCACCCAGGUUGCCCAGGCAACAGAUGACGUGAACAUGAAAUCUCCCAAUAUUCCUGGCUGCACCUCCACCCUGUGGACCCUCUGUCUGGCACCAUUUUGCCAGGCUCCAAUCAUAUCACGGACUGGAUAACUGGCCUCCCUGGAGCUGUGCAGGGCACCCUGCUGCCACCGCGGGUGGUGGCCUUGGCUUUCCUGGAACACACCGUGCCCGCCCACACCUCCUUGCUUUUGCCUGUGGGGUUCCACUUGGCCUGGAACAACAUCCCUCACUCCCCCAGCUGAGGGGGGAGCUCUUGUGUUCUUUCAAGGCCAGCUUGAAACACGGCCUCCUCCGGAACCCCCUCCCUGCUCGUCAUCCUUGCAGAAUUAAUUGUUGAUUGCCCCUUGAGAGCAUCAGUCACUUUGCUGCCCAGUUUGUCACUUGCAUGCCUGUCUCCCCCACUGGACUGUGUCUUCCUCAGCACCAUGACCUUGUCUUUGUCAUCUUUGAAUUCCAGGCACCCCAGGCUUAUGGUAAAUUUUCAAUGAAUAUUCAUGAAUUGCAUGAACCAAGUUGCCUUUUCCUUGCUGCCCUGGAGUCAUACACACAGAUGCCAAAAUGUGCUUUUGAAAAAAAAAAAAUUUAAAUGUAAAGCUGCUCAGAAAAUUCCCCCUCCCAAAGAAACAUCAUUGAUUAUGGAGUUAUGAAAGAGUGGCUGCUGACGCUGGUGCUCUGAGAUGAGAGAAGGGGUCAGCUGUUUUUCUGGAACCAAAAAGGGAUCGUGUCAAGUGGUGGGCUGCACACAUGCAUAAAAGAGGCAUAAAUGGCUCUGCGAAGAGACUCUGGGACAUGGGAUGACGAGGCCCCACCACUGAGGGCUGUGUCCAGAUGUGGUCUUAUGGUCCCCACUGACACCUGGCGGUCCUUCUGUGAGGCCACCUCUCUGCGGGCUGACAGGUGAGGCCAUCCCUCGGAAUUGGCCUGAUGGAGCUGCUGAUCCCCAGGGACCCAGAGAAGGAAUGUGAGAACCAGAAACAGAACACGAGAUGCACACGGGUGGAGGGAAACAGGACAAUGAGCUUAACUUCCCAUCAAAAUGUUGACGGUGAGGCAACGGCAGGAGAAGCAGAUUCCUGGGUGUGGUGAGAGGAGACCAGCGUGAUGGAGACCAUGGCAUGGCCAGCAGGCAGUCUGUGCCAAAGAGCAUCAGAGGGUGUCCCCCUGCCCAGAGAGUGCCGGAACAGCCACUGAGAGGCUAGCAUGGAGGAAGGAGGGCUGGGCCCUCUCACUGGAGCCCGUGCUGUGCUGUAGCUACAACCAUUAGAGGGAUCUGUUUCCACGUGAGGGCCAGCACGGCUGGGUGGCUUGUGGACAGGUCUCGGAAAGUUUACAGAAUCACAUCUGCAUGCUUUUGCCCCUAGUCAAUCGCCCACUUCCUCCUUCUCAACCUGGUAGAGGCUGUCUCUACCAGGACUGAGAUGCUGGGCUUCUAUUGUUCCAGAAGGCUCCAUCCCAACCUGCCCUCCAGCCCUCAAAUCAGGGAGACCCAUGAAGUGGGCUGAAGGUGGAUCCUCUCAAAUCAGUCCCCCAGCUAUCCAGACACGCUCACCUUGGGCCAAGCACUUCCCUCCUCAGGCCAGCCCCCUCCCCGUGUCACAGCCUGCACCAGCUCUUCAAGGGGGACCCUCACGGCAGUUCCUCCAGUGGUCAUGGGAAGAUGUGGGACCACACUCACUGCCUCGUGCUGGUUUCCCAUCCCAUCUUUCCCUGCAGACUCUGAGCUCCUUGGGGUCAAGGCUCAUGCUCCCACUUAUCCAAGGGGCCAGCUAGUGAAGAAUCACUAUGAAAGUGCAGUGACAGCUAAAACGGAUGAAGCAUCUUCCGCAUGCCAGGGACGAGUCCGCGUCCUUUGCAUUCAUUAUCUAAACCUUUACUACUCUGUGAGGCAGGUAUGUUACGACUCCUGUUCUAUGAAUGAGAACAGCAAGCGGCGGAGAGAGGAGCAACGUGUCCAAGGUCACAGAGCAGGCAGCUGGCGGACCCCAGGAUCCCAGCCCAGGCCCUUGACUCGGGGCCUCACCCUUAACAUGGCUCGUCCAACAACUAGGCUCCAAGACGCCUGGGUCUUCCUGGGUGGGGACGUCUGCACUGUCUUUGUCACACACGGGGCAAGAGCCUGUGCUCAUGCAAUAAAGUUAAUGUAAGAAGAACCAACUGUAUAGGCACCGAGCUGGACAAGCUCUUGGGCACCUGACACCUGAUUCAUUUCCAGCAACGCUCUGGGGUGGCGGCGCUCUGUGACAGAGAAGGAGGAAGCUGAGUCUGCUUUGAAAAUACGACCCACCCCCACCAUGUUCUAAAUCCUCUCAAAUCAUGUAACGUGUGUUUAUUUGGCUGAGCCUCAAAAUAUUGCUGCUAUUUAACUUUUUUUUUUUUUUUCCUUUUUGGCUGCCCCAUGGUGUAUGCAGUUCCCAGACCAAGGGUCAGAGCCAAGUUAUGCAGAUGUGGCCACAUGAGAUCCUUAACCCACUCUGCUGCGCUGAGGAUCAAACCCGGCACUACAAAGACACCACUGAUCCCACUGUGCCACAGCAGGAACCCCUGACCGUUUUUGACCAACAGCAUGGCAAUUUCAUGUGGUUCAAACUAAUAUGUCAGACUACGUACGACUAGGAAUAGCUGAUUAAUACGAUCAGUGAGAGACCUGUCACCCUCAACCUUAGGUCUCACCCUUCAAAAGUGUUAUCCCCAGAGGCACUGGUUGUGCUCAGGGCUAGGGUCCUUGUGAGCAUGUGACAUGUCAAGGAAGGUUCAAAUCCGGCCAGUGCUCACAUCUCAGAGUCCAGGGAAAGUGACACAAGGAUAUGGUUUACUAAAACUCUUAUAAGUAGGAGACUCAGGUUAGAGUUCUCAGGGUUGCCUUUCAACCUCUGCGUGACCUUCAGCAAGUGCCUUAGUCUCUCUGAGCUUCAGAAAAAAUAAAUAAAUAAGAAUACCCUUUGCUC